CGUACGUCAGGAGAGUUUUACGGUAGUCCCUGGCGUCAGGAUGAACGCUGGCGGCGUGCCUAACACAUGCAAGUCGAACGGAUCUGUAUUGAAACCUAGUGAUAUACAGGUUAGUGGCGGACGGGUGAGUAACGCGUGGAUAACCUGCCGUAUACCGGGGGAGUAACACUUAGAAAUAGGUGCUAAUACCGCAUGAGCGCACAGCUCCGCAUGGAGCGGUGUGAAAAACUCCGGUGGUAUACGAUGGAUCCGCGUCUGAUUAGCCAGUUGGCGGGGGUAACGGCCCACCAAAGCGACGAUCAGUAGCCGGCCUGAGAGGGUGAACGGCCACAUUGGGACUGAGACACGGCCCAGACUCCUACGGGAGGCAGCAGUGGGGAAUAUUGCACAAUGGGGGAAACCCUGAUGCAGCGACGCCGCGUGAGUGAAGAAGUAUCUCGGUAUGUAAAGCUCUAUCAGCAGGAAAGAUAAUGACGGUACCUGACUAAGAAACCCCGGCUAACUACGUG
This 509-nucleotide ribosomal RNA is filed under the name uncultured Lachnospiraceae bacterium. Its description in RNAcentral is "bacterial SSU rRNA". It matches the Rfam family "Bacterial small subunit ribosomal RNA", at positions 1 to 507 of the family's 1533-position model. Lineage: Bacteria; Bacillati; Bacillota; Clostridia; Lachnospirales; Lachnospiraceae. The record is from RNAcentral.